RNAcentral lists this ribosomal RNA (1360 nucleotides) under Nebria sp. DNA0616. RNAcentral describes it as "eukaryotic LSU rRNA". It matches the Rfam family "Eukaryotic large subunit ribosomal RNA", at positions 70 to 1139 of the family's 3401-position model. The record is from RNAcentral. Lineage: Eukaryota; Metazoa; Arthropoda; Insecta; Coleoptera; Carabidae.
AAGGAUUCCCUUAGUAGCGGCGAGCGAACAGGGAGAAGCCCAGCACCGAAGCCCGCAGUCGGAAACGGCUGCAGGGCAAUGUGGUGUUUGGGAGAGCCCGUUUAACUCGGUAAGUGUGUAACGUGUCCAAGUCCUUCUUGAACGGGGCCACACACCCAUAGAGGGUGCCAGGCCCGUAGUGACCGUUACCAUGUCCGAGUGGGUUUCUCCUUAGAGUCGGGUUGCUUGAGAGUGCAGCUCUAAGUGGGUGGUAAACUCCAUCUAAGGCUAAAUAUAACCACGAGACCGAUAGCGAACAAGUACCGUGAGGGAAAGUUGAAAAGAACUUUGAAGAGAGAGUUCAAUAGUACGUGAAACCGUUCAGGGGUAAACCUGAGAAAACCGAACAAAUCGAAAGGACAGAUUCAAUCACCUCGCCUGUGGUAGCACACUGUUAACGUUACAUGGGACGUCUAAUACUUCGGUGCUAGUCGCCCCGUUAUCAAUGCUGUUUACUGCAGGAGGUGUGCAUUUCUAUCCUAGUAGAUGCGUCGUGACCCAUUGGGAGCUUGUCUAAGGUCCGCUAGGGAGCCUGUGACGUUUCGUUUAAUUACUUAGCGUUCACAGACCUGCGGUGUCCCGACGGGUAACUCGAUGGACGAAACGUCAGGUGGUGGGUCGCUUCGGCGAGCGAUACACCCUGUGACAAGUAACUGUGCAGACCGUGGAAAUCGGACCUAGCGCCGGUUCCGCACUCACAUUACUGUUGGUCACAUGGGCUAUGUAUCCGAUCCCGUCACCCGUCGGCGACGUCUGAGCUUUGGGUACUUUCAGGACCCGUCUUGAAACACGGACCAAGGAGUCUAGCAUGUACGCGAGUCAUUGGGUCACAAACUAAACCUAAAGGCGAAAUGAAAGUAAAAGUUUAUAUUUUUACAUGAACUAAGGGAAGAUGGGCUUAUACAUAUUAAGCCUCGCACUCCCGGGCCGUCCCAUACUCAUAGCGAGUUGGGGCGGACUAAGAGCGUACACGCUGGGACCCGAAAGAUGGUGAACUAUGCCAGGUCAGGAUGAAGUCAGGGGAAACCCUGAUGGAAGUCCGUAGCGAUUCUGACGUGCAAAUCGAUCGUCGGAACUUGGUAUAGCGGCGAAAGACUAAUCGAACCAUCUAGUAGCUGGUUCCCUCCGAAGUUUCCCUCAGGAUAGCUGGCAUUCGAUUGAAUAAAUGUGGAUGAGUCUCAUCCGGUAAAGCGAAUGAUUAGAGGCAUUGGGGUCGAAACGGCCUCAACCUAUUCUCAAACUUUAAAUGGGUGAGAUCUCCGGCUUGCUUAACGCAUGAAGCCGGAGAUCGGAUCAAUGAAUGCCAAGUGGGCCACUUUUG